GUAUGUGUAGGUGAUCUGGCUACGACAUCUCUCACCCCAUAGAUCGCCAGGGUUGAUUCGGCUGAUCUGGCUGGCUAGGAGCAUGUCCCCUUACCACUCCAUGUGUGUUGCUCCCAAAGCUGCAGGCUUGGUUGAAGCGGACAAUGUCCCAGGUAAAAAAGGAGUGUAUCGAGGUCUCCAGUCUUCGGUCCAGGGUAUACGAUAACUGUGUUCCCCUUCUAGAACCUUCAAACAAGCUAGCCUUAUGGACACCUAUGCCAGAAAAUUUUUCAGCAAUAUCGGUGAAGAGAAUAUGACCAUCACAGGUGGACUAAACAUUCAAACUGUGGUAGUGAUGUCCCUUUUGUU
Anolis carolinensis (green anole) is the source of this 348-nucleotide non-coding RNA. It matches the Rfam family "7SK RNA". Rfam says of the family: 7SK was discovered as an abundant small nuclear RNA in the mid-70s but a possible function has only recently been suggested. Two independent studies have found that 7SK RNA binds the CDK9/cyclin T complex (known as elongation factor P-TEFb). NCBI's taxonomy places the organism in Eukaryota, Metazoa, Chordata, Lepidosauria, Squamata, Anolidae. The record is from Rfam.